ACGAACGCUGGCGGCAUGCCUCACACAUGCCAGUCGAACGAGACCUUCGGGUCUAGUGGCGCACGGGUGCGUCACGCGUGGGAACCUGCCCUUAGGUUCGGAAUAACUCCCCGAAAGGGGUGCUAAUACCGGAUAAUGUCUUCGGACCAAAGAUUUAUCGCCUUUGGAUGGGCCCGCGUUGGAUUAGCUAGUUGGUAGGGUAAAAGCCUACCAAGGCGACGAUCCAUAGCUGGUCUGAGAGGAUGAUCAGCCACACUGGGACUGAGACACGGCCCAGACUCCUACGGGAGGCAGCAGUGGGGAAUAUUGGACAAUGGGCGAAAGCCUGAUCCAGCAAUGCCGCGUGAGUGAUGGAGGCCUUAGGGUUGUAAAGCUCUUUUACCCGGGAUGAUAAUGACAGUACCGGGAGAAUAAGCUCCGGCUAACUCCGUG
RNAcentral lists this ribosomal RNA (432 nucleotides) under uncultured bacterium. RNAcentral's name for it is "partial 16S ribosomal RNA". It matches the Rfam family "Bacterial small subunit ribosomal RNA", at positions 29 to 507 of the family's 1533-position model. The record is from RNAcentral.